RNAcentral lists this ribosomal RNA (496 nucleotides) under uncultured bacterium. RNAcentral describes it as "partial 16S ribosomal RNA". It matches the Rfam family "Bacterial small subunit ribosomal RNA", at positions 29 to 507 of the family's 1533-position model. The record is from RNAcentral.
AUGAACGCUGGCGGCGUGCCUAAUACAUGCAAGUCGAGCGAACGGACGAGAAGCUUGCUUUUCUGAUGUUAGCGGCGGACGGGUGAGUAACACGUGGAUAACCUACCUAUAAGACUGGGAUAACUUCGGGAAACCGGAGCUAAUACCGGAUAAUAUUUUGAACCGCAUGGUUCAAAAGUGAAAGACGGUCUUGCUGUCACUUAUAGAUGGAUCCGCGCUGCAUUAGCUAGUUGGUAAGGUAACGGCUUACCAAGGCAACGAUGCAUAGCCGACCUGAGAGGGUGAUCGGCCCCACUGGAACUGGAACACGGUCCAGACUCCUACGGGAGGCAGCAGUAGGGAAUCUUCCGCAAUGGGCGAAAGCCUGACGGAGCAACGCCGCGUGAGUGAUGAAGGUCUUCGGAUCGUAAAACUCUGUUAUUAGGGAAGAACAUAUGUGUAAGUAACUGUGCACAUCUUGACGGUACCUAAUCAGAAAGCCACGGCUAACUACGUG